GUGGGGAAUUUUGGACAAUGGGCGCAAGCCUGAUCCAGCAAUGCCGCGUGCAGGAAGAAGGCCUUCGGGUUGUAAACUGCUUUUGUACGGAACGAAACGGUCCGGGUUAAUACCCUGGGCUAAUGACGGUACCGUAAGAAUAAGCACCGGCUAACUACGUGCCAGCAGUCGCGGUAAUACGUAGGGUGCAAGCGUUAAUCGGAAUUACUGGGCGUAAAGCGUGCGCAGGCGGUUUUGUAAGACAGGCGUGAAAUCCCCGGGCUCAACCUGGGAAUUGCGCUUGUGACUGCAAGGCUGGAGUGCGGCAGAGGGGGAUGGAAUUCCGCGUGUAGCAGUGAAAUGCGUAGAUAUGCGGAGGAACACCGAUGGCGAAGGCAAUCCCCUGGGCCUGCACUGACGCUCAUGCACGAAAGCGUGGGGAGCAAACAGGAUUAGAUACCCCAGUAGUCC
Molecule: ribosomal RNA, 450 nt
Filed under: uncultured bacterium
Lineage: Bacteria
Description: partial 16S ribosomal RNA
Rfam family: Bacterial small subunit ribosomal RNA
Source: RNAcentral